UACGAAGGUCCCAAGCGUUAUCCGGAUUUAUUGGGCUUAAAGGGUGCGUAGGCGGGCUAUUAAGUCAGUGGUGAAAGCCCCAAGCUUAACUUGGGAACUGCCAUUGAUACUGAUGGUCUUGAGUACAUUUGAGGUGGGCGGAAUGUGUCAUGUAGCGGUGAAAUGCUUAGAUGUGACACAGAACACCGAUUGCGAAGGCAGCUCACUAAACUGUAACUGACGCUGAGGCACGAAAGCGUGGGGAGCAAACAGG
This 253-nucleotide ribosomal RNA is filed under the name uncultured bacterium. RNAcentral describes it as "partial 16S ribosomal RNA". It matches the Rfam family "Bacterial small subunit ribosomal RNA", at positions 524 to 776 of the family's 1533-position model. The record is from RNAcentral.